AUAUAUAUUGAUGGUGCAUUAUUCUAGUCGUACUUAAGUUUAUGAGGGUGGGGCUAAAAAUCCACUAAAGGGCACAUCGUUGAAGUUUCUUGUUUGUGCGCGAAAUGCCAGUUUUGUGUGUAUCCAGGAAGUAAGAGAUUAGGGUAGUAUGUAAUGGCAUACAUAUGAUUCCCUGGUUUCGCGGAGGCUUAAAUAAAAGUAUAUGAAUCUUUAUACAUAAAAUUUAAGUAUAACCUAUGUUGAGUGCCAAGACACAAAAAACAUAGAGUAGCCUGUCUCGAGUGAAUAUAUUGGGAUUAGUUACAGAUAGGUAGAAUUAGCUUUUGGCCAAAUCUAUUUUACCAAUACUAUGAAACUAUAUUUGCAAAAAAGACUAAUAAACUUGUAAAAGUAUGUCAAGGAAAACUUCUAGAAUGUUUGCUUAAAAUCAAAUAAGCAUAGGAGUCUAGGGAUUAAGGUACAGAUUUAAGUGGCAAUCUGGUAUCUAUAAAAGUAGAUAUUUUCCUUAAAUGGAAACAGCUAUAACAGUAAUGUUAAGCGGAAAAUAGAGAAAUUCGACCAGACCUAAACUGUAAAAUUUACUUAGGCUUUUGCCAUCUAAACUAAAAA
RNAcentral lists this small RNA (609 nucleotides) under chicken gut metagenome. The record is from RNAcentral.